Molecule: long non-coding RNA, 773 nt
Organism: Rhopilema esculentum
Lineage: Eukaryota; Metazoa; Cnidaria; Scyphozoa; Rhizostomeae; Rhizostomatidae
Source: RefSeq, a predicted model, not a curated record
UAUCAGUUGGUAAGAAUAAUAAAGAAAUUUGGCAGAACUGAAAAAUGUUUUGAAUUGGGUUAUCCAAUUGUUCGUGAAAAUUUCUGUUCUGAAAUUCCUGUAAAAAUCUCUUUAAGAAAUGAAAUGCUUAUUGGCAAGUUUGAAAAGGUAAGUGUUACUAGCAGUUGUAAGAAUUUGCAUUGAUGUUUACAGGUACAAGACAUUCUUUCAAUCUGAGCUUUGUUGCUGUGGAGAUAAAAUCACUUUUCUACAAUAAAACCAAGCUGGCAGAAAUGCUUAAACCACUACCGCACUGAAAAACCUAUACAAGGACCAAGGCUGCGCAAGAAAUUCAAAGACAUAGAAAUGGCCGCAGUGAAGUUUCUUCUUGCAUUUACGCUCUUGGCACUGGUUUUGAGUUUUGCUACCGCUUCAAACAAGGAAGAGCAAAAACACGAUGCAUGCAUCAAGGGCGCCCAGGAGGAAAAUCGGCUGUGUAAGAGCCAUUGCAAGGAAAUGAAGGAAGAGCUUCCACUUCAAAAAGAAUGCUUUGAAGAUUGCAAAUUCUUUUUGAAGGAAUCGAUCAAAGAUUGCAAGAAAUAUCACUUGGCUGAGGCCUGAAAACUUGGGUUCCCGUGAAAGAUAUUUGCUAACGAUGAUAAAAACUAACUGUAUAAUGCUUAUAAAUGAAAAAUGAUUUAUUUCAGAAGAGAAUUAACAAAUGCUAUCGUUUAAUCUAUGUAACAAAGCCAACCUUGAAAACAAUAUAAAAAUGACUACUGAAUUGUGUCACA